UACGAAGGGGGCUAGCGUUGUUCGGAAUUAUUGGGUUUAAAGGGUGCGUAGGCGGUCUUAUAAGUCAGUGCUGAAAUAUCCCGGCUUAACCGGGAGGGUGGCAUUGAUACUGUAGGACUUGAGUAAAGUUGAGGUUGGCGGAAUUGACGGUGUAGCGGUGAAAUGCUUAGAUAUCGUCAAGAACACCGAUAGUGUAGACAGCUAACUAAGCUUUAACUGACGCUGAGGCACGAAAGUGUGGGGAUCAAACAGG
This 253-nucleotide ribosomal RNA is filed under the name uncultured bacterium. RNAcentral's name for it is "partial 16S ribosomal RNA". It matches the Rfam family "Bacterial small subunit ribosomal RNA", at positions 524 to 776 of the family's 1533-position model. The record is from RNAcentral.